RNAcentral lists this ribosomal RNA (262 nucleotides) under Staphylococcus aureus. Its description in RNAcentral is "partial 16S ribosomal RNA". It matches the Rfam family "Bacterial small subunit ribosomal RNA", at positions 1 to 252 of the family's 1533-position model. Lineage: Bacteria; Bacillati; Bacillota; Bacilli; Caryophanales; Staphylococcaceae. The record is from RNAcentral.
UUUAUGGAGAGUUUGAUCCUGGCUCAGGAUGAACGCUGGCGGCGUGCCUAAUACAUGCAAGUCGAGCGAACGGACGAGAAGCUUGCUUCUCUGAUGUUAGCGGCGGACGGGUGAGUAACACGUGGAUAACCUACCUAUAAGACUGGGAUAACUUCGGGAAACCGGAGCUAAUACCGGAUAAUAUUUUGAACCGCAUGGUUCAAAAGUGAAAGACGGUCUUACUGUCACUUAUAGAUGGAUCCGCGCUGCAUUAGCUAGUUGG